GAUGAACGCUGGCGGCGUGCUUAACACAUGCAAGUCGAACGGAAAGGCCCAAGCUUGCUUGGGUACUCGAGUGGCGAACGGGUGAGUAACACGUGGGUGAUCUGCCCUGCACUUCGGGAUAAGCCUGGGAAACUGGGUCUAAUCCCGGAUAGGACAAUGGUUUGGAUGCCAUGGUGGAAAGUUUUUUCGGUGUGGGAUGAGCUCGCGGCCUAUCAGCUUGUUGGUGGGGUAAUGGCCUACCAAGGCGUCGACGGGUAGCCGGCCUGCGAGGGUGUACGGCCACAUUGGGCCUGAGAUACGGCCCAGACUCCGACGUGAGGCAGCAGUGGGGAAUAUUGCACAAUGCGCGCCAGCCUGAUGCAGCGACGCCGCGUGGGUGAUGACGGCCUUUGGGUUGUAAACUCCUUUCGCUAGGGACGAAGCGUUUUUGUGACGGUACCUGGAGAAGAAGCACCGGCUAACUACGUG
RNAcentral lists this ribosomal RNA (468 nucleotides) under uncultured bacterium. Its description in RNAcentral is "partial 16S ribosomal RNA". It matches the Rfam family "Bacterial small subunit ribosomal RNA", at positions 28 to 507 of the family's 1533-position model. The record is from RNAcentral.